AUACGGAGGAUCCGAGCGUUAUCCGGAUUUAUUGGGUUUAAAGGGUGCGCAGGCGGGAGAUUAAGUCGGCGGUGAAAUUUUUCAGCUCAACUGUAAAAAGGCCUUCGAAACUGGGUUCCUUGAGUGUAGAUGAAGUAGGCGGAAUUUGUGGUGUAGCGGUGAAAUGCAUAGAUAUCACGAGGAACUCCGAUUGCGCAGGCAGCUUACUAAACUACUACUGACGCUCAGGCACGAAGGCGUGGGGAUCAAACAGGAUUAGAUACCCUGGUAGUCCACGCAGUAAACGAUGAUUACUAGCUGUUUGCGAUACAAUGUAAGCGGCUGAGCGAAAGCGUUAAGUAAUCCACCUGGGGAGUACGUUCGCAAGAAUGAAACUCAAAGGAAUUGACGGGG
This 393-nucleotide ribosomal RNA is filed under the name uncultured bacterium. RNAcentral describes it as "partial 16S ribosomal RNA". It matches the Rfam family "Bacterial small subunit ribosomal RNA", at positions 523 to 918 of the family's 1533-position model. The record is from RNAcentral.